UAUGUGUCGUCUCUCGCAUAUCAAUAAGCGGAGGAAAAGAAACUAACAAGGAUUCCCCUAGUAACGGCGAGUGAAGCGGGAAGAGCUCAAAUUUGAAAUCUUAAAGGUUUUCCCUUGACGAAUUGUAGUUUAAAGAAGUGUUUUCUGUUGAAGGUUUUGGUAAAAGUUCUUUGGAAUAGGACAUCAUAGAGGGUGAGAAUCCCGUAUUUGACCAUUAUUUUCAGCUGUGUGAUACACUUUCAAAGAGUCGGAUUGUUUGGGAAUGCAGUCCAAAAUGGGUGGUAAAUUUCAUCUAAAGCUAAAUAUUGGCGAGAGACCGAUAGCGAACAAGUACCGUGAGGGAAAGAUGAAAAGAACUUUGAAAAGAGAGUUAAACAGUACGUGAAAUUGUCAAAAGGGAAGCGUUUGACACCAGUGUUGUUUUUCUGAAAAUCAAUUAAAGAACUGUUUAUGCUAAGUUGUUUAGACUUUAUCAGCUAACUGUUUAGUUUUGAGCUUUUCUUUAAUGCACUUUUCAGUUAACAAGUCAACAUCAAUUUCUUUUGCUGUAAAAAAGCUUGAGGAAGGUGGCUUGAGAUUCGUCUUAAGUGUUUAUAGCCUCUUGCCUAUGCAGUCGGAGAGAUUGAGGUCUGCAGCGUAGAUCCUUCGGGGCUAAAUGCAUUUGUGCUAAGUUAUAGCAUUUUAUAGACAACUUGUUGACUAUGAUUUGUCUUGUAGCUUACUCGCUUAUGUUAUUUUACCUACGCUUAGGAUGUUGAUCUACAGAGCGAGAGU
This 774-nucleotide ribosomal RNA is filed under the name uncultured Neocallimastigales. Its description in RNAcentral is "partial large subunit ribosomal RNA". It matches the Rfam family "Eukaryotic large subunit ribosomal RNA", at positions 24 to 631 of the family's 3401-position model. Lineage: Eukaryota; Fungi; Neocallimastigomycota; Neocallimastigomycetes; Neocallimastigales. The record is from RNAcentral.